AUAGCCUGCGCUAGAUUUUCUCCUCAAUUAUAGUAUUUAAUUUGAAACAUAUACUUUGCUACAUCUAAUCUCUAUUGGGUCUCGGUGGUCAUCCAGACAAGUUUGCUCAUACAACGGUGUGGUAUUGCUGAGAGAGCACUGACUUGGACCUGUCGUACAUGUCACCCCCAUGCAUCUCUCUUCUCUCCCACCUCACUGAUGGCCAUGGCCGCUUGACGCAAUUUAAUUUGUUGUGAAGGGCCACGUACUACUUUAGCACUUAGUUUUUAUAUAUGAGUUGAAUGCCAUCAAAUCAUCAAAGUCAAAGGUUAGCCUAUAUUCCUACAUGUGUCAGCACUCGAGCUCAAUGCAACUCGAUGCAUGAUUACGAAUCGUGCUGCAUUUCUGUGUUCCUGAUGGAUCUCGUGAACUACUAGCACCCAUAUAGGACGAGCUACUACGUAUAGCAUUGCAUUUGCAGAGGCACGUACUACCUGCAACGGGCCAACGGGGCAGAUGAAUAAAACUGCGAAAAAAAAAAAUGGCAGCUUUCUUGAGCCAAGCACCCAACCGUUUCCAUGCAUGACCGUCGGCAGUCGGCACGGC
RNAcentral lists this long non-coding RNA (585 nucleotides) under Sorghum bicolor (sorghum). RNAcentral's name for it is "long non-coding RNA (SBIC_LNC006082)". The record is from RNAcentral. Lineage: Eukaryota; Viridiplantae; Streptophyta; Magnoliopsida; Poales; Poaceae.